CGCCUAUUGAAAUAAUAGGUAACGCCUGCUCAAUGCAAUAGUCAAUAGCCGCGGUAUUCUGACCGUGCAAAGGUAGCAUAAUCAUUUGUCUCCUAAUUAGAGGCUGGAAUGAACGGCGAAACGAGAUAAAAGCUGUCUCUAAAAUAUAAAUCGAAAUUCAUCUUUAAGUGAAAAAGCUUAAAUAAACCUAAAGGACGAUCAGACCCUAUAGAGCUUAUUUGUUGGGGCGACAAAGAGAUAUAAAUAACACUCUUUUUUAAAAAAUAUAAAUAAAUAAAAUAAUGAUCCUUAAAUUAAGAUAAAAGACUAAGUUACCUUAGGGAUAACAGCGUAAUCUUUUUGGAGAGUUCAAAUCGAUAAAAAGGGUUGCGACCUCGAUGUUGGAUUAGAAAAUCAGUAAGGUGCAGCAGCUUUACUAGAGAGUCUGUUCGACUCUUAAUAUUCUACA
Molecule: ribosomal RNA, 448 nt
Filed under: Diaphanosoma brachyurum
Lineage: Eukaryota; Metazoa; Arthropoda; Branchiopoda; Diplostraca; Sididae
Description: partial 16S ribosomal RNA
Rfam family: Archaeal large subunit ribosomal RNA
Source: RNAcentral